GCCGGGCGCGGUGGCGCGUGCCUGUAGUCCCAGCUACUCGGGAGGCUGAGGUGGGAGGAUCGCUUGAACCCAGGAGUUCUGGGCUGUAGUUUGCUAUGCCGAUCGGGUGUCCGCACUAAGUUCAGCAUCAAUAUGGUGACCUCCUGGGAGUGGGGGACCACCAGGUUGCCUAAGGAGGGGUGAACCAGCCCAGGUCGGAAACAGAACAGGUCAAAACUCCCGUGCUGAUCAGUAGUGGGAUCGCGCCUGUGAAUAGCCACUGCACUCCAGCCUAGGCAACAUAGCGAGACCCCGUCUCUU
Unclassified non-coding RNA from Callithrix jacchus (white-tufted-ear marmoset), 300 nucleotides. It matches the Rfam family "Metazoan signal recognition particle RNA". Rfam says of the family: The signal recognition particle (SRP) is a universally conserved ribonucleoprotein. It is involved in the co-translational targeting of proteins to membranes. Lineage: Eukaryota; Metazoa; Chordata; Mammalia; Primates; Cebidae. The record is from Ensembl.